This 302-nucleotide ribosomal RNA is filed under the name uncultured bacterium. RNAcentral's name for it is "partial 16S ribosomal RNA". It matches the Rfam family "Bacterial small subunit ribosomal RNA", at positions 508 to 807 of the family's 1533-position model. The record is from RNAcentral.
GCAGCCGCCGCGGUAAUACGGAGGGUGCAAGCGAUAUCCGGAUUCACUGGGUUUAAAGGGUGCGUAGGCGGGCAGGUAAGUCAGUGGUGAAAUCUUCGAGCUUAACUCGGAAACUGCCGUUGAUACUAUCUGUCUUGAAUAACGUUGAGGUGAGCGGAAUAUGUCAUGUGGCGGUGAAAUGCUUAGAUAUGACAUAGAACACCGAUUGCGAAGGCAGCUCACUAAACGCUCAUUGACGCUGAGGCACGAAAGCGUGGGGAUCAAACAGGAUUAGAUACCCGGGUAGUCCCUGUCUCUUAUAC